This 1035-nucleotide long non-coding RNA is filed under the name Bemisia tabaci. RNAcentral describes it as "lncRNA ENSSSA1NGG006317". Lineage: Eukaryota; Metazoa; Arthropoda; Insecta; Hemiptera; Aleyrodidae. The record is from RNAcentral.
AUGAAACUUCUACAUGUUCCUAGCUUUGAAAUUGUUCAUUCAAAAAAUGGAAAAAAGCUACACAAAUUCUUUGUUUCACCGGAAGACCUAGAUGGUGACUUUUUGAAUAGUCAUUCUAGUGUCAAAACUCCUCUGUACAUAAGGCCAAAAUCUUGCGACAUAGUGGAAACCAGUGUAACAAAGCGAGAUGAUUCAUUGAACCGGGAGGAAGUUGUAACAAAGCGAGAUGAUUCAUUGAAGCAGGAUGAAGUUAUAAAUCUCUCAUCAGAUGAAGACUCCGUUUUUCUGCCGAAAAAGAAGGCAAAAAAAAUAAAAUCUGCGAGAAUUGAGAUAAUUUCUGAAGAAGAUUCUCAUUCACUGAAGCAAGCUUGUGUUCAGUCCUUCUUAAUUGAUGUCAGGAAUUACAUAAAUGAUAAUCUACUUUUCAUCAGUGCCAAUCGAUAUGAACCUGUUUUACCUGUAUUAUACAAUGCUUUGCAAUCGCCGGGCUUUUCCAUCCUUUCACGAUUAUACGCUGAUUUCAAAGGAGAAAAGGGACUCGGCUUUGGGGUCACUAAGGAGCUAUUUUUUCUUGCGCUAAAAGAAUUGAGACAGUCAGAUCUCUUAGAAGGAGAUGAAUUCCACAAAACUUUUAUAAAGUGUAAAUCGGAGGUUGAUGCCGGAUCAUACAGACGUAUUGGUGAACUUUGCGUCUGGAGUAUUCUCCAAGGAGGCCCAUUCCCAACUUUCUUCUCCAGAAUUUUUGUCAAACUCAUUUUCGGAAGAAUUGAGGAAGCAAGGACUUCAGUCACCGUUGAUGAUGUGUUGAACAUCAGUGUCAGGAAUGAAAUAAUCAGACUGAAGGAAUCCAAAACUCUCGAUGAAGUCCGAAGUGCUCUCGUAGAUGGCUCUGUUUUCCAGUACUCUGGAAUAAAAUUGCAGGUCAACGCAUCAACAUUCAUAAAUGACAGAAAUUUGGCUGUCAAAAGUGAGUUAGCUUUCAAUUAUUGUUGGUUCUUAUUACACCAAAUCUUAGUAUCAAUCAAAUGUAGAUGA